GCCCGGUUAGCUCAAUCGGUAGAGCGUGAGACUCUUAAUCUCAAGGUUGCGGGUAAGUCUAACUACAUAACUCCCUCCCUACCUGUACACACAGAGGGUUCGAAGUAACUACGUAGUAAUACAUAUGUUCGAUAAAAGCUAACAUUUCUACUCCUACUCCUAGGUUCGACCCCCGCAUCGGGCU
Non-coding RNA from Hypoxylon fragiforme, 184 nucleotides. Lineage: Eukaryota; Fungi; Ascomycota; Sordariomycetes; Xylariales; Hypoxylaceae. The record is from the annotation of a RefSeq genome assembly.